UACGAGGGGGGCAAGCGUUGUUCGGAAUUAUUGGGCGUAAAGGGCGCGUAGGCGGUGCGGUAAGUCACCUGUGAAAACUCAGGGCUUAACCCUGAGCCUGCUUCCGAUACGGGCAGACUAGAGGUAUGCAGGGGAGAACGGAAUUCCUGGUGUAGCGGUGAAAUGCGUAGAGAUCUGGAGGAACACCGAUGGCGAAGGCAGCCUUCUGGGCCAACACUGACGCUCAUGCACGAAAGCGUGGGGAGCAAACAGG
This 253-nucleotide ribosomal RNA is filed under the name uncultured bacterium. RNAcentral's name for it is "partial 16S ribosomal RNA". It matches the Rfam family "Bacterial small subunit ribosomal RNA", at positions 524 to 776 of the family's 1533-position model. The record is from RNAcentral.